CCUACGGGCGGCUGCAGUGGGGAAUAUUGGACAAUGGGCGAAAGCCUGAUCCAGCCAUGCCGCGUGUGUGAAGAAGGCCUUCGGGUUGUAAAGCACUUUCAGUGGGGAAGAAAGCCUUGGGGCUAAUACCCUCGAGGAAGGACAUCACCCACAGAAGAAGCACCGGCUAACUCCGUGCCAGCAGCCGCGGUAAUACGGAGGGUGCGAGCGUUAAUCGGAAUUACUGGGCGUAAAGCGCGCGUAGGCGGUCUGAUAAGCCGGUUGUGAAAGCCCCGGGCUCAACCUGGGAACGGCAUCCGGAACUGUCAGGCUAGAGUGCAGGAGAGGAAGGUAGAAUUCCCGGUGUAGCGGUGAAAUGCGUAGAGAUCGGGAGGAAUACCAGUGGCGAAGGCGGCCUUCUGGACUGACACUGACGCUGAGGUGCGAAAGCGUGGGUAGCAAACAGGAUUAGAUACCCUAGUAU
Molecule: ribosomal RNA, 463 nt
Filed under: Vreelandella stevensii
Lineage: Bacteria; Pseudomonadati; Pseudomonadota; Gammaproteobacteria; Oceanospirillales; Halomonadaceae
Description: partial 16S ribosomal RNA
Rfam family: Bacterial small subunit ribosomal RNA
Source: RNAcentral